CUAUUCCUACGGGACGCAGCAGUGGGGAAUAUUGCACAAUGGGCGCAAGCCUGAUGCAGCGACGCCGCGUGCGGGAUGGAGGCCUUCGGGUUGUAAACCUCUGUCUUUGGGGAAGAAUAGGGACGGUACCCAAAGAGGAAGCUCCGGCUAACUACGUGCCAGCAGCCGCGGUAAUACGUAGGGAGCGAGCGUUGUCCGGAAUUACUGGGUGUAAAGGGAGCGUAGGCGGGCUUGUAAGUUGAAUGUCUAAUCCACCGGCUCAACCGGUGAUCGCGUUCAAAACUGCAGGUCUUGAGUGAAGUAGA
This 305-nucleotide ribosomal RNA is filed under the name uncultured bacterium. RNAcentral's name for it is "bacterial SSU rRNA". It matches the Rfam family "Bacterial small subunit ribosomal RNA", at positions 333 to 655 of the family's 1533-position model. The record is from RNAcentral.